This 29-nucleotide ribosomal RNA is filed under the name Meridionale harrisi. RNAcentral's name for it is "partial 28S ribosomal RNA". The record is from RNAcentral. Lineage: Eukaryota; Metazoa; Arthropoda; Pycnogonida; Pantopoda; Callipallenidae.
GUCGACCUCGAGAUCGGGCGAGAUCACCG